UCCUAUUUGGGUUUUUAUUGAGAUUAAAAAAACAUCAACAAAUAAAACAAAUAUUGACAUUUCACUUUAUUACAGCAAACUUUCCAAAUAUUUUCUCUGGAACAAAACUCAAACUCACAUUACCCUCAAAUUAAUGUUAGGUGGCUUCACAGACCUAUUUCUAAUUACAGAGAUAGAUGCACUAUGUUUUACAAUAUGUAUGUUUUUAUCUGUAUAGUGCAACUGCAUUGUCAAAAACAUUACAAGAUAAGAACAUUGAAUUAAUCGAAACAGCAUAGGAUAAGAGCAGACCAAGUUGAAAACAUGAAACUGAAAGAAACUUGUUACAGGAACGUGAAAUCAUACAAAUUAUAGAUUUUGCUGUGUACCUCAAUUACGAUUUUUAUAUGACAGAAAUUGCAAAGUUGCAAUGCAGUAUGAACUGAUAUUGUCAUGCACACAAUUCAUUAAAGAAAUUAAUAGCAGGCUAGAAGACAUGUUUAACAUACAUGCAAUCUUGAACAACAUUUACAUACAACUUCGCCCAGUCUGUGAAACCAAGCCAUCCACUUCAGGUGAAAGCCAGGUAAUAAAAAACAUGUAAAAAUAGUUGAUAGCUAACAGAUAAGUCUUAAAAAUAACUAUGAGUAUUGAUGUUUAGUGAAUUACAAGGAUGAUACUAGCUAACAAAAAACCCUCACAGUAGACAAUAACUAUACAUCUUCUGGGAGAUAUCUUAGUGAUGAUUGGAUUGGAAGUUUACAGUUACCGUCUUGACUCCACAAGGUGAAGUAUGCAAUGAAUCAAGUGAAAUAAAGUGCAACUAUGUUUAAUGGCACCGUCCCAAAUGGCACCUUAUUCCCUUUAUAGUGGUCACAUGUGGCUCAGUUGGUAGAGGAUGGUGGUAGAGCAUGGUUUGCAACGCCAGGGUUGUGGGUUUGAUUCCCACGGGGGACCAGUACGAAAAGAAGAAAAAAAAUGUAUGAAAUGUAUGCAUUCACUACUGUAAGUCGCUCUGGAUAACAGCGUCUGCUAAAUGACUAAAAUGUAAUAGUGCUCUACUUUUGACCAGGGUCCGUAGGCUCUGGUCAAAGUAGUGCACUUUAUAGGGAAGAGGGUGCCAUGACAGUGACACUAACAAAAUCUGUAUCGAAACAAAGAUAGCUGGGAAGAAGUUGUUACAUUCAAAGCUUUGGCAAUUAAGAGAAAUAAAAUUACAAGACAUUAGCAUUUUGAAAAUUGCAGACCCUCAGGAGAGAUAAGACAACAAUUAAAAGUAUGUUAUUUAUUUAUUACAAGAAACAAAACACUGAUUUAACCCAUUUUAGCUUCUUAUUUACCUAUAUGAGUAAAUAGACAAUUGAUUCAUACAUUCAUGAUCUUUCCCACAUUGUAACAUUUUGGAUGGAGAUGAAGGAACAUCUCGGUAAAAGCUCAAUGAGAAUAUCAUGACCAAAAGGAUGCGCAUGGAAUUAGAAACCGUAUCCAAAUGGGAUAAGUCUGCACAGACCAAUAUAUUAACAACUGUCAAUGAAAUUGUCUUCACAUCAUUCAAGCUAUGAAGGGGAAGAAAAAAAAAUGACAUGGUUUCCACAAAGCAUCAAAAAUAAUAGCAAGAGCAAAUAGACACGUAGGUUAAUUGAGAAAACUAAAGAGUUGGGUAAGAGCUAUCCCACUAGUAAAAUGUUAAAAACAUGUCCAUUCAUCCUACAAGAUGCUACUGAUAUUUUGUGUUUCCCGGCAACAAGGUAUGUUGUCUUGUUCAGUCUGCUCCACCUAGGUUCCUUUUACUUUAGAAACCUUUUUGGUUGAGCCAGGCUUCCUGCCUCCGCCUCUUAGAAACAACCCCCACCUUCUUUAUGAGCUGCCGCCACCUUACCAGGUUUGCUAGCCUUGUGACAACCACUGUGUGGUUUUAUUUCCUCUUCAAAUUGGACACAAGUCUUCGUCCUCAUCUCUCUCUGCAUCUUCAUUUUCCUCCUUCUCUGAAUCACAAGUUGUAUAAUCAACUUUCACAGAUGUUCUCCUGCCUCUUCGCCUCUGGGCUUGGAAGGCAGCUUCAUCUAACACAUUUGCUUUACCAUUGGUGCAGCGGUAAAGCUUUACUAUUGGAGAAACAGUGCACCCCUGUUUGGCUGGGGGUGCACUAUUGGACCUAUGCUUCUCUGCUGCUCUCUUGGCUUUGUUUGCUUGUACGGAGCCUAAGGGGCGGCCCCUCUUUUGCGGGGAACCAUCUAUAACGGGUGGCUUGGAAACUUUAGAGGUUGGAGGUGGGUUCUUCCGUAAGUGGGCACCUCUCCCCAUUGUUGCCUUGCGUGGACGGCCUCUUGCCCGUGGCUCAGCAGAGGUGGCUGGGGGAUCCAUGUAGGGGUGGAUGCGCGGCCUUCCGAGAGGCUUCCACACUCUUGAUCCCUUAGGUUGGCUUUUCAGUUUCUUUCUCUCUUCUUCCUCCUCGGUUGAUAGCGGGUUCUUCUUCGGCCUACCCAUUUUUUUUUUGGGUUUAACAUUUUGGGGCCGGCCAUGCUUCAGAGGUGCAGUUCCGAGAGGCUUCCACACUCUUGAUCCCUUAGGUUGGCUUUUCAGUUUCUUUCUCUCUUCUUCCUCCUCGGUUGGUAGCGGGUUCUUCCUCGGCCUACCCAUUUUUUUUGUUUGUUUAACAUUUUGGGGCCGGCCAUGCUUCAGAGGUGCAGUUGGCUCUGCUGAAACAGCAUUAGGGUCAACCACUUUACAUGGCCUGCCCCGUGGCCGCUUGUCUAGUACCCUCAGUAUCUUGGGUGUCUUAGAGCCUGAUCCUUUGGGCCUUCCCUUUCCCCUCUUAGGUGGUAUGGGGUUGCCAUUAGACAAGGCUUCACCUAACUCCUCAUCACUACCAGUAUCAGAGGCAAUUAUCUGUCCUUUUUCCGACACUGUUGCCUCUUCUUCCGACACUGUUGCCCUUUCUUCAGACAUUGUUGCCCCUUCCAUCAUCUGUUUUCUUGCUACCUGGCUCCUUCGUUCUUUCCUUCCAGCUCACUUUCUUGGAGGACUAGUGAACUACUUAGGGCUUCCCACUGUAAAACACACAUCUCGAGAAAGUUACAAAACAAACAAAUGUUCUUUGUGCACCCCUUCAUUGCUUCAUAAAACUGACCUACAUGGGCACGAGAAAGUGUAGCUAACAUGUAUUGCAACAUGCACAGCCUAAACACAGAUUUUAUGUUUACUGAUUUUUCAUUUAUGUAUAUGCUAAGGUGCACAAUACUAACAAAAUCUGAUAUGAACGUCUCCAUGACAUCCCUAAUUAAGGUUACUGCAUUGAAGCGAUUCUGAAAACUAGCCAGCUAGUAUCCUGAAUCAGUGAUUGUUUUGGUUAGUAGUAGUUAGCUAACUUUACCAGCUGUUCGAAGAAACAUAAUAUUAAUCUUUUAGGACAGAGUUUCCCACACUCUGUCCUACCCACCCCUGGGUGGACGUUUUGUUUUUUUCCUAAGCACUACAUAGCUGAUGGAAAUAAUCAAAGUUUGAUGAUGAAUUGGAUAUAUGAAUCAAAUGGGUAGUGCUUGCGCAAAAACAAAAACGUGCACACAGGGGGAGGGAGGGCCCAGGUCCGAGUUUGGGAAACCCUGUUCGACAAGUAACUAGUUAACUAAAUGGACUUGAAAAUAAACUAGAUAAUUUGCUAACUACGUAGCAUCGCCAGCUAUUUCGCUAGGUAGCUACCCAGCUAGUUAUCGUGACAAAGCCACCUAACUAGCUAGCUAGUUAAAUAAAGGUUAAAUUAAAUAAAAGCUAGCAAACAGUAGCACUAACGCUUGCGACAGCCAUGGAUAGCAAGCUUCGCUAGCAAGUUAAUGAAAAUACCACACUGCAGAAUACGCCUCACCUUGAUAAAAUCCUUGGUUAGAUAUCGUUUAAUCUCAUGAAAGUUCCUUGUUGUUAGCUAGCGAUGUAAAUUUCAAACGGAAUUUGUGGGGGCUGUUUUGUAAACCCCUACUACUAAGACCACUUUUUUUAGUUCCGUUCUGUUAGGUUGCGUCAAUCAAAUCUGGUAUCAGAACAGAAUUUAACACUAAGUCACUGAAUAUAUUCUCUGCUUUUUUAUUCAAUUGAAUUAGUCAAGCGAAUAAAUGGUAAAUGCAAUCUUAGUAUAUACGGAUUCACUGUAACACCUCGCAGGGCAAACAGAGAACUAACUGUUCACACACAAAGUUAUUUAAUACACCUUAUUCCCUUUAUAGUGGUCCCGUGUGGCUCAGUUGGUAGAGCAUGGUGUUCGCAAUGCCAGGGUUGUGGGUUCGAUUCCCACGUGGGACCAGUACGAAAAGAAAAAAAAAAGGUAUGAAAAGAAAAAAAUAAUGUAUGAAAUGUAUGCAUUCACUACUGUAAGUCGCUCUGGAUAAGAGCGUCUGCUAAAUGACUAAAAUGUAAUAGUGCUCUACUUUUGACCAGGGUCCGUAGGCUCUGGUCAAAGCAGUGCACUUUAUAGGGAAGAGGGUGCCAUGACAGUGACACUAACAAAAUCUGUAUCGAAACAAAGAUAGCUGGGAAGAAGUUGUUACAUUCAAAGCUUUGGCAAUUAAGGGAAAUAAAAUUACAAGACAUUACAAGACAUUGCAGACCCUCAGGAGAGAUAAUUGUUGUCUUAAAAGUAUGUUAUUUAUUUAUUUAUUACAAGAAACAAAACACUGAUUUAACCCAUUUUAGCUUCUUAUUUACCUAUAUGAGUAAAUAGACAAUUGAUUCAUACAUUCCUGAUCUUUCCCACAUUGUAACAUUUUGGAUGGAGAUGAAGAAACAUCUCGGUAAAAGCUCAAUGAGAAUAUCAUGACCUAAAGGAUGAGCAUGGAAUUAGAAACAGCAUCCAAAUGGGAUAAGUCUGCACAGACCAAUAUAUUAACAACUGUCAAUGAAAUUGUCUUCACAUCAUUCAAGCUAUGAAGGGGAAGGAAAAAAAUGACAUGGUUUCCACAAAGCAUAAAAAAUAAUAGCAAGAGCAAAUAGACACGUAGGUUAAUUGAGAAAACUAAAGAGUUGGGUAAGAGCUAUCCCACUAGUAAAAUGUUAAAAACAUGUCCAUUCAUCCUACAAGAUGCUACUGAUAUUUUGUGUUUCCCGGCAACAAGGUAUGUUGUCUUGUUCAGUCUGCUCCACCUAGGUUCCUUUUACUUUAGAAACCUUUUUGGUUGAGCCAGGCUUCCUGCCCCGCCUCUUAGAAACAACCCCCACCUUCUUUAUGAGCUGCCGCCACCAUAACUAGGUUUGCUAGCUUUGUGACGACCACUGUGUGAUUUUAUUUCCUCUUCAACUGGAGACAAGUCUUCGUCCUCAUUUCUCUCUGCAUCUUCAUUUUCCUCCUUCUCUGAAUCACAAGUUGUAUAAUCAACUGUCACAGACGUUCUCCUGCCUCUUCGCCUCUGGGCUUGGAAGGCAGCUUCAUCUAACACAUUUGCUUUACCAUUGGUGCAGCGGUAAAGCUUUACUAUUGGAGAAACAGUGCACCCCUGUUUGGCUGGGGGUGCACUAUUGGACCUAUCCUUCUCUGCUGCUCUCUUGGCUUUGUUUGCUUGUACGGAGCCUAAGGGGCAGCCCCUCUUUUGCGGGGAACCAUCUAUAACGGGUGGCUUGGAAACUUUAGAGGUUGGAGGUGGGUUCUUCCGUAAGUGGGCACCUCUACCCAUUGUUGCCUUGCGUGGACGGCCUCUUGCCCGUGGCUCAGCAGAGGUGGCUGGGGGAUCCAUGUAGGGGUGGAUGCGCGGCCUUCCGAGAGGCUUCCACACUCUUGAUCCCUUAGGUUGGCUUUUCAGUUUCUUUCUCUCUUCUUCCUCCUCGGUUGAUAGCGGGUUCUUCCUCGGUCUACCAAUUUUUUUUGUUUGUUUAACAUUUUGGGGCCGGCCAUGCUUCAGAGGUGCAGUUGGCUCUGCUGAAACAGCAUUAGGGUCAACCAGUUUACAUGGCCUGCCCCGUGGCCGCUUGUCUAGUACCCUCAGUAUCUUGGGUGUCUUAGAGCCUGAUCCUUUGGGCCUUCCCUUUCCCCUCUUAGGUGGUAUGGGGUUGCCAUUAGACAAGGCUUCACCUAACUCCUCAUCACUACCAGUAUCAGAGGCAAUUAUCUGUCCUUUUUCCGACACUGUUGCCCCUUCUUCAGACAUUGUUGCCCCUUCUUCAGACAUUGUUGCCCCUUCUUUCAUCUGUUUUCUUGCAACCUGGCUCCUUCGUUCUUUCCUUCCAGCUCACUUUCUUGGAGGACUAGUGAACUACUUAGGGCUUCCCACUGUAAAACACACAUCUCGAGAAAGUUACAAAACAAACAAAUGUUCUUUGUGCACCCCUUCAUUGCUUCAUAAAAGUGACCUACAUGGGCGCGAGAAAGUGUAGCUAACAUGUAUUGCAACAUGCACAGCCUAAACACAGAUUUUAUGUUUACUGAUUUUUCAUUUAUGUAUAUGGUAAGGUGCACAAUACUAACAAAAUGUGAUAUGAACGUCUCCAUGACAUCCCUAAUUAAGGUUGCUGCAUUGAAGCGAUUCUGAAAACUAGCUAGCUAGUAUCCUGAAUCGGUGAUUGUUUUGGUUAGUAGUAGUUAGCUAACUUUACCAGCUGUUCGAAGAAACAUAAUAUUAAUCUUUUAGGACAGGGUUUCCCACACUCUGUCCUACCCACCCCUGGGUGCACGUUUUGUUUUUUCCCUAAGCACUACAUAGCUGAUUAAAAUAAUCAAAGUUUGAUGAUGAAUUGGAUAUAUGAAUCAAAUGGGUAGUGCUUGCGCAAAAACAAAAACGUGCACACAGGGGGAGGGAGGGCCCAGGUCCGAGUUUGGGAAACCCUGUUCGAGAAGUAACUAGUUAACUAAAUGGACCUGAAAAUAAACUAGCUAAUUUGCUAACUGCGUAUAAUCGCCAGCUAUUUCGCUAGGUAGCUACCUAGAUAGUUAUCGUGACAAAGCCACCUAACUAGCUAGCUAGUUAAAUAAUGGUUAAAUAAAAUAAAAGCUAUCAAGCAGUAGCACGAACGCUUGCGACAGCCAUGGAUAGCAAGCUAGCUAGCUAGCUCACGCCGUUAGCUUGCUAGCGAAGCUAGUUUAAUGAAAAU
RNAcentral lists this transfer RNA (7047 nucleotides) under Salmo salar (Atlantic salmon). RNAcentral describes it as "lncRNA (ENSSSAG00000112497.1)". The stretch from base 4328 to 4381 matches the Rfam family "UnaL2 LINE 3' element". The record is from RNAcentral. Lineage: Eukaryota; Metazoa; Chordata; Actinopteri; Salmoniformes; Salmonidae.